Molecule: transfer RNA, 68 nt
Filed under: Ochthebius ragusae
Lineage: Eukaryota; Metazoa; Arthropoda; Insecta; Coleoptera; Hydraenidae
Description: transfer RNA-Leu
Source: RNAcentral
UAUUGUUAUUUUGGCAGAUUAGUGCAUUAAAUUUAGAAUUUAAUUAUGUAUAUUAUUACAAAUAAUAC